Molecule: long non-coding RNA, 410 nt
Filed under: Triticum aestivum (bread wheat)
Lineage: Eukaryota; Viridiplantae; Streptophyta; Magnoliopsida; Poales; Poaceae
Description: long non-coding RNA (TAES_LNC025483)
Source: RNAcentral
CUGAGUCUAGGGCAUGCAUGUAUACAUCGAUCUCAUACCCUGCAGUCCUGCACACAUGCAACAGACAAGGACUCAACACAGAAUAUUAUACAUACUUAAACCAAGAAAUGAGACUGCAAUAAGCGAAUCUGAAUCAUUCAAACCUGACAAAAAUACAGCUUCUAGCCAAGUAGCCUGAUAGUCCGGAUGGACAACAACAUGAUUGUGAUAGCUGUCAUUGUUGCCCAUAAGCAACCAAGUGAUGUGGCGGUAAGUGCCCACGAGCCGAAGCUCAAGCACAGGAAUCGCUCGUACAGGCAUACUAAUAAGAAACCGUCCAUUUACAGCAACGUUAACAAAAAUUCUUGGGUCUCCAAAAGAUGCCUUGCCUACUGAAAGAGCACGAAGACCAAAAGGGAACCACUCAUGAG